CCAAGGUCAUAACACGUCAUAACAUAACCUAAGAAACACGCAUAAACAUGUUUAUUUUUCUUUAAAAACAAUGUGUUGUUUGAAAUACUUAAUUAUUUUUAUUUGACCAACUGCGCUCAUAUAUGAUUCGGCUUAAUUCGGCAAUAGAACAAUGCCAAGUAUUUUAUCUUUUUUUUGAAUGAACAAAAAUGUCCCGAGCAGAUACUCGAUAAUUAGAAAGUUAACCAGUUUGGAUUCACAUAUUAACGUUAACAAGAAGUCUGCUGCAGUGUCACAUCCGUCCAACAUGAAAGAGGUCAAAGAAAAAGUCCACGGAACGUUUUACGUGGUUUUUAUAUCCCUUUUAUUAGAUUUAUUGGCCUUUACAAUGAUAUUACCUUUGCUGCCAUCGCUCCUAGACCAUUAUAGGGAAAAUGACACCACAGGAUUGUACUCCUGGCUUUCACGCCAAGUUUACUUUUUCCAAAAAAUGGUCGGGGCUCCGGAUAAGUUUAACUCGGUACUGUUUGGAGGCUUUCUUGGGUCGAUGUUUAGCUUUCUGCAAUUCGUCACAUCACCCAUCAUUGGCGGCAUAUCCGAUGUUGUCGGCCGAAAAAUAGUCAUGCUUGUUUGUAUGGUGGGAAUCUCCCUCUCAUAUGUACUAUGGGCCUUGUCGAACAAUCUUGUACUCUUUAUAUUGGCUCGCAUCCUCGGGGGAAUCAGCAAAGGAAAUGUUUCUAUAAGCAUGGCAAUUAUUACUGAUGUGUCUACAAUCAACACUAGAGGAAAAGGAAUGGCUUUAGUUGGUAUAGCGUUUUCUCUUGGUUUUAUUGUGGGGCCAAUGAUAGGGGCUAUAUUUGCCGUAUGGGCCAAGCAAAAAACUGGCAACUGGUUUGUUGUUCCCGCCUUAUUCGCUCUUAUGUUAUCCAUUGCUGAUGUGAUUUAUUUUGCAAUAUUUUUCAAGGAAUCGCUUCCCAAGGAAAAACGUGCCAAACAUUUUGCGGCUACUCUAGACCAUGCGAAAACCCUAAUUAACGUUAAAGAUUUAUUUCAAUUCACUGCCGUAAAGAAUAUUAAAAGCCAAGACUUAAAAGAACUUCGAAGACUGGGAUUGAUAUAUUUUGUCUAUUUAUUCAUAUAUAGCGGCCUAGAGUUUACAUUAACUUUCUUAACACACCACGUAUUCAACUACACUUCAAUGCAACAAGGGUGGAUGUUCUUUGCCAUCGGUUUAACAAUGGCGAUCAUACAAGGAGCGUUUGUUCGAAGAGUCCCUCCUCAUAAAACGCGCUCAACAGGCAUUUUGGGGCUUUGGAUCAUCAUUCCAUCAUUCAUCUCGGUUGGGCUCGCAACCGGACCUUUGCUCUUAUAUUUUGGACUGUUCCUGUACGCUGUCUGAUCACCUUUAACAAGACCUGCAGCUCAGCAACCAUGAUGAAACUGAUAGGAUAAAUCAUGCGGGCCACUCAGUAAUUUCAUUUGGAAAUAUUCUACAACAAACAUGCCUAAAGGCAGAGACAAGUAGAGACGAGAAACUAAAUGUAAAUAAUUUGUCCUGUGAGAUGAUGCUUUCUCUCUCGUUAAGUGGAAGCCGUGGCUCAGGGGGAGCCACCCGCGGUUCCAGCGAAUGCCCGCCAAUUUCAAAUAAUGUAAUAUAAUGAAGUACUCACUGUUUCAAUGCUUGAAAAUGUGUGCAAAACGUAUUUAAUGCAGCCAAAUUAGCCAUGUUGUAUUUAUAUAAGCAAAAUAAUUACUUGGACUCCACGAAUACGUCUUGUAUAUCAUUCUCAAGCUAGAAGAAAAAGAAAACAUAGAAACCAUUAUAGUAGAGUUUUAUUAUUCAUUAAUUUAUUGUUUAUUGUGUAACAGGAACAAUCCUAAUAUAAAAAAACUAUCAAUCCACAUAGAAACAAAACUUUUAUCUGGCAAACAAAAAAAUCUGCAAUUUUUUUUUUUGGUUUGCCCGGCGGCUGGAGGGACAAAAAUCUUCUCGAAGACACCCAGUGGUCCGGAACCCUAGGUAGUGUUGGAUUCUUACCAACUAAAAAACCCCCGUUUUUCUACUAUGUAAGAAUGCUUCAGCUCCAGCACCCGCAUGCGAUUACGUCACAUUCUCUC
Molecule: RNA transcript, 2097 nt
Organism: Dendroctonus ponderosae (mountain pine beetle)
Lineage: Eukaryota; Metazoa; Arthropoda; Insecta; Coleoptera; Curculionidae
Gene: rtet
Gene name: major facilitator superfamily domain-containing protein 10
Exons: 7
Source: RefSeq, a predicted model, not a curated record